This 322-nucleotide ribosomal RNA is filed under the name uncultured eukaryote. RNAcentral's name for it is "partial 18S ribosomal RNA". It matches the Rfam family "Eukaryotic small subunit ribosomal RNA", at positions 1470 to 1796 of the family's 1831-position model. The record is from RNAcentral.
CCCUUAGAUGUUCUGGGCCGCACGCGUGCUACACUGAGUGGAUCAGCGGGUCAGGUUGCGCGAAAGUGUUUCCUAAUCUUGAAAUCCGCUCGUGAUGGGGAUAGACGGUUGCAAUUUUCCGUCAUGAACGAGGAAUACCUUGUAAGCGCGGGUCAUCAUCCCGCGCUGAAUACGUCCCUGCCCUUUGUACACACCGCCCGUCGCUCCUACCGAUUGAGUGGUCCGGUGAGGCUUUGGGAUCUGAGCGGAAAGAGCGUUUCGCUGUUUCUGCUCGGAAAACUCAGUCGAACCUUAUCAUUUAGAGGAAGGAGAAGUCGUAACA